RNAcentral lists this transfer RNA (73 nucleotides) under Toxocara canis (dog roundworm). It matches the Rfam family "tRNA". Rfam says of the family: Transfer RNA (tRNA) molecules are approximately 80 nucleotides in length. Their secondary structure includes four short double-helical elements and three loops (D, anti-codon, and T loops). The record is from Rfam by way of RNAcentral. Lineage: Eukaryota; Metazoa; Nematoda; Chromadorea; Rhabditida; Toxocaridae.
CAGGCGGUAGGUCAGUGGUAGAGCUCCAGUUUUGUAUGCGGGAAGACCUGGGUUUCGAUUCCCGGCCGCUUAU